GUCGGGUAAGUUCCGACCUGCACGAAUGGCGUAAUGAUGGCCAGGCUGUCUCCACCCGAGACUCAGUGAAAUUGAACUCGCUGUGAAGAUGCAGUGUACCCGCGGCAAGACGGAAAGACCCCGUGAACCUUUACUAUAGCUUGACACUGAACAUUGAGCCUUGAUGUGUAGGAUAGGUGGGAGGCUUUGAAGUGUGGACGCCAGUCUGCAUGGAGCCGACCUUGAAAUACCACCCUUUAAUGUUUGAUGUUCUAACGUUGACCCGUAAUCCGGGUUGCGGACAGUGUCUGGUGGGUAGUUUGACUGGGGCGGUCUCCUCCUAAAGAGUAACGGAGGAGCACGAAGGUUGGCUAAUCCUGGUCGGACAUCAGGAGGUUAGUGCAAUGGCAUAAGCCAGCUUGACUGCGAGCGUGACGGCGCGAGCAGGUGCGAAAGCAGGUCAUAGUGAUCCGGUGGUUCUGAAUGGAAGGGCCAUCGCUCAACGGAUAAAAGGUACUCCGGGGAUAACAGGCUGAUACCGCCCAAGAGUUCAUAUCGACGGCGGUGUUUGGCACCUCGAUGUCGGCUCAUCACAUCCUGGGGCUGAAGUAGGUCCCAAGGGUAUGGCUGUUCGCCAUUUAAAGUGGUACGCGAGCUGGGUUUAGAACGUCGUGAGACAGUUCGGUCCCUA
RNAcentral lists this ribosomal RNA (670 nucleotides) under Escherichia coli. Its description in RNAcentral is "partial 23S ribosomal RNA". It matches the Rfam family "Bacterial large subunit ribosomal RNA", at positions 1971 to 2640 of the family's 2925-position model. The record is from RNAcentral. Lineage: Bacteria; Pseudomonadati; Pseudomonadota; Gammaproteobacteria; Enterobacterales; Enterobacteriaceae.